AAUCUUCCACAAUGGUCGAAAGCCUGAUGGAGCAACGCCGCGUGAGUGAAGAAGGAUUUCGGUUCGUAAAACUCUGUUGUUAGGGAAGAAUAAGUACAGUAGUAACUGGCUGUACAUUCACGGUACCGUAUUAUAAAGCCACUGCUAAAUCCGUUCCAGCAGCCGCGGUAAUACGUAGGUGGCAAGCGUUGUACGGAAUUAUUGGGCGUAAAGCGCGCGUAGGCGGUCCUUUAAGUCUGAUGUGAAAGCCCACGGCUCAACCGUGGAGGGUCAUUGGAAACUGGGGGACUUGAGUGCAGAAGAGGAAAGUGGAAUUCCAAGUGUAGCGGUGAAAUGCGUAGAGAUUUGGAGGAACACCAGUGGCGAAGGCGACUUUCUGGUCUGUAACUGACGCUGAGGCGCGAAAGCGUGGGGAGCAAACA
This 422-nucleotide ribosomal RNA is filed under the name uncultured bacterium. RNAcentral describes it as "partial 16S ribosomal RNA". It matches the Rfam family "Bacterial small subunit ribosomal RNA", at positions 360 to 774 of the family's 1533-position model. The record is from RNAcentral.